GCUCGAUUAGUUUAGUUGGUCAUAACGUGUGCUUCACACGCACAAGGUCUUGGGUUCGAACCCCAAAUCGAGUA
Non-coding RNA from Pelagophyceae sp. CCMP2097, 74 nucleotides. The record is from the annotation of a GenBank genome assembly. NCBI's taxonomy places the organism in Eukaryota, Pelagophyceae.